This 253-nucleotide ribosomal RNA is filed under the name uncultured bacterium. RNAcentral's name for it is "partial 16S ribosomal RNA". It matches the Rfam family "Bacterial small subunit ribosomal RNA", at positions 524 to 776 of the family's 1533-position model. The record is from RNAcentral.
UACAGGGGGGGCGAGCGUUGUUCGGAAUUACUGGGCGUAAAGGGCUUGUAGGUGGCUUGUUAAGUCAGACGUGAAAUCCCUCAGCUUAACUGGGGAACUGCGUCUGAUACUGAUGAGCUUGAGUGCAGGAGAGGAACGCGGAAUUCCAGGUGUAGCGGUGAAAUGCGUAGAUAUCUGGAGGAACACCGGAGGCGAAGGCGAAUCACUGGACCGCUUCUGACGCUGAGGCGCGAAAGCUAGGGGAGCAAACAGG